GUGUUCGCUUCGGCAGCACAUAUACUAAAAUUGGAAUGAUACAGGGAAGAUUAGCAUGGCCCCUGUGUAAGGAAGACAUGCAAAUUUGUGAAGUGUUCCAUAUUAAA
Molecule: small nuclear RNA, 107 nt
Filed under: Microtus ochrogaster (prairie vole)
Lineage: Eukaryota; Metazoa; Chordata; Mammalia; Rodentia; Cricetidae
Source: RNAcentral